This 171-nucleotide ribosomal RNA is filed under the name uncultured bacterium. Its description in RNAcentral is "partial 16S ribosomal RNA". It matches the Rfam family "Bacterial small subunit ribosomal RNA", at positions 1330 to 1500 of the family's 1533-position model. The record is from RNAcentral.
AAUUGCUAGUAAUGGCAGGUCAGAAUACUGCCGUGAAUACGUUCCCGGGCCUUGUACACACCGCCCGUCACACCAUGAGAGUUGGGAAUACCCGAAGCCUGUGAGCUAACCGCAAGGGAGCAGCAGUCGAAGGUAGAAUCAAUGAUUGGGGUGAAGUCGUAACAAGGUAGC